AUGGUAAUGAGCAAUUUGAUGCUUGUGCUAACAGUGUUCAUGGUCUCUGCUACUUACCUCUUGAUGAGGAGGAUGAGAGGAAAGAAUAGGCUACCACCAGGGCCAGGCUUCGCUCUCCCGCUAGCGGGCCACCCCCACCUGCUUCGUGAGAAGCCGCUCCAUGUCACGCUCGCCGGCCUCGCCGCGCGCCACGGCCCCGUCCUCUCCCUCCGCCUUGGCCGCCGCGACGCCGUCGUCGUCACCUCGCUGCGGCUGGCCAAGGAGUGCUUCUCCUCCGACCUCGAUGUUGCCUUCGCCAACCGCCCGCGGUUCCCCUCCGCGCGGGAGGUCUCGUUCGGCUACACGGGGCUGCCGGCCGCUAGCUACGGCCCGCACUGGCGCGCCAUGCGCCGCAUCGCCACCGUGCACCUCCUCUCGGCGCGCCGCGUCGACCUCAUGUCCGAUGCCGCCAUCGCCGACGAGACCCGUGUCAUGGUGCGACGCCUUGCGCGCGCCGCAGCUGCGGUCAGCAGCGGCGUCGCCAAGGUCGAGCUAAAGCGGAAUCUGUUCGAGCUCUCGCACGGCGUCCUCAUGGAGUCCAUUGCGGGAACCAAGGGCAAGCGCGGUGCCGGCUCUGACGCCGACAUGUCCGAGGAGGCGCACGAGUUCAAGAAAGUGGUGGACGAGAUCAUGCCGCUGCUCGGCAUGGCGAACCUGCACGACCACCUGCCGGCACCGCUGCGCUGGCUGGACUUGGGCGGCGUACGCCGGAGGCUCACCGAGCUGGUGAACCGGAGGAACGCGCUGAUGCAUGGUCUGAUCGAUGCAGAGAGGGAACGGCGGCGGCAGGAGGACCACGCCGCCGACGAGGAGGAGCUGCUGCCGGAGUCGAAGAGCAUGAUCGGCGUGAUGCUCUUGCUGCAGGAGUCCGAUCCGCAGCAGUACACGGACACUUUCAUCGCCGCUCUAGUCACCGUGAGUGCUCCUCCUCCUACUGGUUCGUCUUGCACGUUCACGGCCAAAAGAAUGCAUAUAUCCACGUUCUCUGCUCUGCUCUGUGAAGAACCUCUUCGGCGGCGGCACGGUGACCACGUCGGCGACCAUGGAAUGGGCCAUGUCGCUGCUGCUCAACCACCCGUACGCGCUGCGGAAGGCGCGAGAGGAAGUGAGCGCGCGUGUUGGCCACGCCCGCCUCCUGAGCAGGGACGACCCCACCUCCCUUACCUCCGGUGCAUCAUCAGCGAGACCCUCCGGCUCUACCCCGCCGCGCCGCUGCUAGCGCCGCACGAGUCAUCCUCCGACUGCAGCCUCCAUGGGUACCACGUCCCGGCGGGCACCAUGCUGCUCGCCAACGCCUACGCCAUCCACCGGGACCCGUCCGUCUGGGACGACCCAGAGGAGUUCAGGCCGGAAAGGUUCGGCGUUAAUAGCGCCGACGGGCAGGGCCAGCAGGGGAUGAUGCUGCCGUUCGGGAUGGGACGGCGGCGGUGCCCCGGGGAGAGCCUUGCGCUGAGAACCAUGGGGCUGGUGCUGGGGACCUUGAUCCAGUGCUUCGACUGGAGCAGGGUGGCCGGCGACGAGGUUGACAUGACGCAGGCCUCUGCCAAGAUCCUGUAUAAAGCUGUUCCUCUGGUAGCUCUCUGCAAACCCCACGACAACAUGCGGGCUGUGCUUCACAAGAUCUAG
This 1665-nucleotide ribosomal RNA is filed under the name Triticum aestivum (bread wheat). RNAcentral's name for it is "partial small subunit ribosomal RNA". The record is from RNAcentral. Lineage: Eukaryota; Viridiplantae; Streptophyta; Magnoliopsida; Poales; Poaceae.